CGGGCGGUAACAGGGAUAAGCUUGCUUCUCUGCUGACGAGCGGCGGACGGGUGAGUAAUGUAUGGGGAUCUGCCUGAUGGAGGGGGAUAACUACUGGAAACGGUAUGCUAAUACCGCAUAAUGUCUUCGGACCAAAGCGGGGGACCUUCGGGCCUCGCGCCAUCAGAUGAACCCAUAUGGGAUUAGCUUGUAGGUGAGGUAACGGCUCACCUAGGCGACGAUCCCUAGCUGGUCUGAGAGGAUGAUCAGCCACACUGGGACUGAGACACGGCCCAGACUCCUACGGGAGGCAGCAGUGGGGAAUAUUGCACAGAUGGGCGCAAGCCUGAUGCAGCCAUAGCCGCGUGUAUGAAGAAAGGCCUUCGGGUUGUAAAGUACUUUCAGUCAGGAGGAAGGUGGUAAGGUUAAUAGACCUUAUCAAUUGACGUUACCGACAGAAGAAGCACCCGGCUAACUCCGUG
RNAcentral lists this ribosomal RNA (461 nucleotides) under Morganella morganii. RNAcentral describes it as "bacterial SSU rRNA". It matches the Rfam family "Bacterial small subunit ribosomal RNA", at positions 63 to 507 of the family's 1533-position model. Lineage: Bacteria; Pseudomonadati; Pseudomonadota; Gammaproteobacteria; Enterobacterales; Morganellaceae. The record is from RNAcentral.